GCUGGAGUAGCUCAGCAGGUAGAGCAGCUGACUUGUAAUCAGCAGGUCGGGGGUUCAAAUCCGUCCUCCAGCU
RNAcentral lists this transfer RNA (73 nucleotides) under Thermoclostridium caenicola. RNAcentral describes it as "Clostridium caenicola tRNA". It matches the Rfam family "tRNA". Rfam says of the family: Transfer RNA (tRNA) molecules are approximately 80 nucleotides in length. Their secondary structure includes four short double-helical elements and three loops (D, anti-codon, and T loops). Lineage: Bacteria; Bacillati; Bacillota; Clostridia; Eubacteriales; Oscillospiraceae. The record is from Rfam by way of RNAcentral.